UACGUAGGGUGCGAGCGUUGUCCGGAAUUACUGGGCGUAAAGAGCUCGUAGGUGGUUUGUCGCGUUGUUCGUGAAAUCUCACGGCUUAACUGUGAGCGUGCGGGCGAUACGGGCAGGCUAGAGUACUGCAGGGGAGACUGGAAUUCCUGGUGUAGCGGUGGAAUGCGCAGAUAUCAGGAGGAACACCGGUGGCGAAGGCAGGUCUCUGGGCAGUAACUGACGCUGAGGAGCGAAAGCGUGGGGAGCGAACAGG
This 253-nucleotide ribosomal RNA is filed under the name uncultured bacterium. RNAcentral's name for it is "partial 16S ribosomal RNA". It matches the Rfam family "Bacterial small subunit ribosomal RNA", at positions 524 to 776 of the family's 1533-position model. The record is from RNAcentral.